CAGGCCUAACACAUGCAAGUCGAGGGGUAACAGGAGGUGCUUGCACUUUGCUGACGACCGGCGCACGGGUGCGUAACGCGUAUGCAACCUACCUUCUACAGGGGGAUAGCCCAGAGAAAUUUGGAAUAAUACCCCAUACGAUCAUCGAUUGGCAUCGAUUGAUGAAGAAAACUUCGGUGGUAGAAGAUGGGCAUGCGUCCUAUUAGUUAGUUGGUGAGGUAACGGCUCACCAAGACGUCGAUAGGUAGGGGCCCUGAGAGGGGGAUCCCCCACACUGGUACUGAGACACGGACCAGACUCCUACGGGAGGCAGCAGUGAGGAAUAUUGGACAAUGGGCGAGAGCCUGAUCCAGCCAUGCCGCGUGCAGGAAGACUGCCCUAUGGGUUGUAAACUGCUUUUAUACAGGAAGAAACUGUGCUACGUGUAGCACCCUGACGGUACUGUAAGAAUAAGGAUCGGCUAACUCCGUGCCAGCAGCCGCGGUAAUACGGAGGAUCCAAGCGUUAUCCGGAAUCAUUGGGUUUAAAGGGUCCGUAGGUGGUUCAUUAAGUCAGAGGUGAAAGCCUGCCGCUUAACGGUAGAACUGCCUUUGAUACUGACGGACUUGAGUCAUUGUGAAGUAGUUAGAAUAUGUAGUGUAGCGGUGAA
This 649-nucleotide ribosomal RNA is filed under the name uncultured bacterium. Its description in RNAcentral is "bacterial SSU rRNA". It matches the Rfam family "Bacterial small subunit ribosomal RNA", at positions 43 to 685 of the family's 1533-position model. The record is from RNAcentral.